Molecule: ribosomal RNA, 273 nt
Filed under: uncultured bacterium
Lineage: Bacteria
Description: partial 16S ribosomal RNA
Rfam family: Bacterial small subunit ribosomal RNA
Source: RNAcentral
UACGUAGGGGGCGAGCGUUGUCCGGAAUUAUUGGGCGUAAAGAGCGUGUAGGCGGUUCGGUAAGUCUGCCGUGAAAACCUGGGGCUCAACCCUGGGCGUGCGGUGGAUACUGCCGGGCUAGAGGAUGGUAGAGGCGAGUGGAAUUCCCGGUGUAGCGGUGAAAUGCGCAGAUAUCGGGAGGAACACCAGUAGCGAAGGCGGCUCGCUGGGCCAUUCCUGACGCUGAGACGCGAAAGCUAGGGGAGCGAACAGGAUUAGAAACCCUCGUAGUCC